UGUACUAAGGUAGCAUAAUGACCUGUCUUUCAAUUGAAGGCUAGAAUAAAUGGACUGAUGCUAUGAAACUGUUCCUACAAUAAAAGGAAACUAACUUUGAGUAAAAAUUCUCAUAAUGAGCUCUGGGACGAUAAGACCCUGUAAAAUUUAACUUUAUGGCUAAAAUAACGAAAUGAGUAAAAAUAGUAAAAAAAGUUUGGCUGGGACGGCAAACCUGAAUAAAAAACCAGGUUCCUGAUAAACGUCAUGGACGAUAAGAAUGACCCUAAAUGGAGGAAAGGAUAAAAUUACUUUA
RNAcentral lists this ribosomal RNA (295 nucleotides) under Campylaspis sp. ICE1-Nann005. RNAcentral describes it as "partial 16S ribosomal RNA". The record is from RNAcentral. Lineage: Eukaryota; Metazoa; Arthropoda; Malacostraca; Cumacea; Nannastacidae.